This is a non-coding RNA of Cymbomonas tetramitiformis, 73 nucleotides long. The record is from the annotation of a GenBank genome assembly. NCBI's taxonomy places the organism in Eukaryota, Viridiplantae, Chlorophyta, Pyramimonadophyceae, Pyramimonadales, Pyramimonadaceae.
CUUCGCGUAGCUCAGUUGGUAGAGCGACCGUGAUCGGAUCGGGAGGUCAUGGGUUCGACUCCCGUCGCGGAUG